Molecule: ribosomal RNA, 429 nt
Filed under: Chloroflexota bacterium
Lineage: Bacteria; Bacillati; Chloroflexota
Description: Chloroflexi bacterium partial 16S ribosomal RNA
Rfam family: Bacterial small subunit ribosomal RNA
Source: RNAcentral
UGGGGAAUAUUGCACAAUGGGCGCAAGCCUGAUGCAGCCAUGCCGCGUGUAUGAAGAAGGCCCUCGGGUUGUAAAGUACUUUCAGCGGGGCGGAAGGGAGUAAAGUUAAUACCUUUGCUCAUUGACGUUACCCGCAGAAGAAGCACCGGCUUACUCCGUGCCAGCAGCCACGGUAAUACGGAGGGUGCAAGCGUUAAUCGGAAUUACUGGGCGUAAAGCGCACGCAGGCGGUUUGUUAAGUAAGAUGUGAAAUCCCCGGGCUCAACCUGGGAACUGCAUCUAAUACGGGCAAGCUUGGGACUCGUAAGGGGAGGUAGAAUUCCAGGGGUAGCGGUGAAAGGCGUAGAAUUCUAGAGGAAUACCGGUGGCGAAGGCGGCCCCCUGGACGAAGACUGACGCUCAGGUGGGAAAGCGUGGGGAGCAAACGGG